Molecule: ribosomal RNA, 448 nt
Filed under: uncultured bacterium
Lineage: Bacteria
Description: bacterial SSU rRNA
Rfam family: Bacterial small subunit ribosomal RNA
Source: RNAcentral
UCGCGAAUCAUUCACAAUGGGCGCAAGCCUGAUGAUGCCACGCCGUGUGCGGGAUGAAGGCCCUUUGGGUUGUAAACCGCUGUCAAGGGAGGGGAACCGCCGUACGUGAAUAGCGUCCGGUCUGACUGCUCCCGAAAGGAAGCCCCGGCAAAACAUGUGCCAGCAGCCGCGGUAAUACAUGUGGGGCAAGCGUUGUUCGGAAUUACUGGGCAUAAAGGGUGCGUAGGCGGUCUGUUAAGUCACCGGUGAAAGUUUGCGGCCCAACCGUAAAAGUGCCGGUGAUACUGGCGGACUUGAGUGCGUGAGGGGUAGGGGGAACGAGCAGUGUAGCGGUGAAAUGCGUAGAUAUUGCUCGGAAGGCCAGAGCCGAAGGGGCCCUACUGGUGCGCAACUGACGCUGAGGCACGAAAGCGUGGGGAGCAAACAGGAUUAGAUACCCCGGUAGUCC